UUCAAAGCUUAGCUGCUGAACAUCAGAAUUUGGAGAAUUAUGCUUAAUCAAGUCAUUCACACAGUAUGAUUAAGCUGAAAGCCCUGAGAUGCGCUGCCAAAAGGCGCUCAGGGUUGAUUGUUUAAGUGAUAAAUCCUCUACUUGCAGGGGUGUCCUGGCCUGGACACUGGCGCUGCACUGCAGGAAAAGAAUGCCGAAGGGAGGUGCUGCAGGGGACUGGAGGAGAGAUCUCUUCCACGGCUGGCGAGAUGCCACCAUGCUGUGAAGCUGGCAGGCAUGGCUGGUGCAGGAUCUCUGGAGAAGGGGCAGCCUUGGUGCCUACCGUGGCUACCACUUCGGGAUUAACUUCCUGGCCUGCUUCCUGCCCGUCUUCCUGAGCACCCGACCUACAGCUACCGCAUUAGCUGACUUCGUCAAUGAGCUCAGCCGGGUCUUCUCGCUCUGCCACGUGCCCGUGCUGUGCAGUGAGGGGAUGGAGCAGGGCCCUGGUCCCAGGCUGGAUCCAGGCAGCCAACUCAGAGGGCAAAGGAGACUCGUACCCCCAGCCCUCUGCUCCCUCGGACCUUCCCUGCUCGUGGUGUGACUUUUUCAACAACCUCAUGCAGGCUGGUGUCCGGGUAGGUUCAUUGCUACCCACACCAGAGUGUUGCUGGCAGGAGCUGUGUGGCCGGCGGGGCUCGGGGCAGCCCCAUCCCAGGAACCAGCCCCGCAGACAGCGGCUGCGGGAGUGCGCAACCAGAGCAAGAGCUGACACAAGAAAGAAACACUGCCUGUGAGUAUACCAAAAAUCGUUCCACUGCUCCUGCACCGCUCCACAAAGUCAACAACGCAGUGGCCCUAAGAGCUUCCAAGCGUGGCUACACCUACACCUACAGCAAACGGAGUCACAGGG
Molecule: long non-coding RNA, 892 nt
Organism: Chroicocephalus ridibundus (black-headed gull)
Lineage: Eukaryota; Metazoa; Chordata; Aves; Charadriiformes; Laridae
Exons: 3
Source: RefSeq, a predicted model, not a curated record